This 60-nucleotide transfer RNA is filed under the name Amphibolurus norrisi. Its description in RNAcentral is "tRNA-Cys". The record is from RNAcentral. Lineage: Eukaryota; Metazoa; Chordata; Lepidosauria; Squamata; Agamidae.
GGCUUAAGUGAAUAUUUGAGUGCAAAUCAAAUGGUGGCUAGAAAUAUGGCCCUUGGGCUU